CGGGCACCUUCGGGUGUCAGUGGCAGACGGGUGAGUAACACGUGGGAACGUGCCCUUUGGUUCGGAACAACUCCGGGAAACUGGAGCUAAUACCGGAUAAGCCCUUCGGGGGAAAGAUUUAUCGCCAAAGGAUCGGCCCGCGUCUGAUUAGCUAGUUGGUGAGGUAAUGGCUCACCAUGGCGACGAUCAGUAGCUGGUCUGAGAGGAUGAUCAGCCACACUGGGACUGAGACACGGCCCAGACUCCUACGGGAGGCAACAGUGGGGAAUAUUGGACAAUGGGCGAAAGCCUGAUCCAGCCAUGCCGCGUGAGUGAUGAAGGCCCUAGGGUUGUAAAGCUCUUUCGGCGGGGACGAUAAUGACSGUACCCGCAGAAGAAGCCCCGGCUAACUUCGUGCCAGCAGCCGCGGUAAUACGAAGGGGGCAAGCGUUGCUCGGAAUCACUGGGCGUAAAGGGCGCGUAGGCGGAUCUUUAAGUCAGGGGUGAAAGCCCAAGGCUCAACCUUGGAAUUGCCUUUGAUACUGAGGAUCUCGAGACCGGAAGAGGUAAGUGGAACUGCGAGUGUAGAGGUGAAAUUCGUAGAUAUUCGCAAGAACACCAGUGGCGAAGGCGGCUUACUGGUCCGGUUCUGACGCUGA
Molecule: ribosomal RNA, 638 nt
Filed under: uncultured bacterium
Lineage: Bacteria
Description: bacterial SSU rRNA
Rfam family: Bacterial small subunit ribosomal RNA
Source: RNAcentral